AAAGCCCAGCGCAUAAUCUCCCGGGUUACCAAACCUGCGGCGAAAUGUUGCGUUAAGGGAAAGGUCGUUUCUAAGCCCUGCACAGCGUGUUCCUAAAUACGCUAUGAAUGAGCGCGGUCUCCGAAAGGAGGCUACGGUUCCACAGAGGGUGACAGACCCGUGUGGGCACGCGUAUAUAUGUGCAUGGGUUCGGCUUUUAUUCCCUGAGAGUCGCGUUGCUUGAGCAUGCAGCGCUAAGCAGGUCGUAAACUCGACCUAAGGCUAAAUAUUUCCACAGAACCGAUAGUAAACAAGUACCGUGAGGGAAAGUUGAAAAGCACUCUGAAGAGAGAGUCAAAAGACCGUGAAACCGUUUAGAGUAUAAGCCAAUGGUAUUUCGGAAGGCUGGGAGCAUCCCCUCUCCUUGUUAAAGGGUAAGGAUAUCGUGUGUGUAAAAAAGGGGGCAGACGUGGAACACAGUGGCAUUGAGUUGAUAUCACUCCUUCGUUAAACUUGCGGGUCUCUGACAGUGGUAACAGGGAAGGUUCUAAUGAGGAACCGUCCCGAGGCUGGACUUGUGCAAGCGUCUGCUUAUCAACACACAAACGAGUGCCUUCACACAGCCCACCACAACUCUUUACGAGGUCACCCACACGACACAGCGAGUCGAUGCGAGCCCCUGUUCAAUAUGCUACGGGCAGGGGCCGGCGGCUCAAUUGUGUUUCCAACGUGUGCUGGUAUGAUCCUCUGUGAAGGUUGCUUUCUGACCAUCCUAAUGCGUGGAUGUUGGCUCUUAGACUGUUGGAGUUCGGCUUAAUGACCCGCCGGAGUGCUAGUUAGAACUGUGUUCGCGGCGGGUGAUUGGUGUCCAGUCCGAAGCCAUUGGUCACGUCUCGAAACACGGGCCAAGGAGCAUAGCAUGUGCGCAAGUCUAAGGGUCUCACAAAACCUGGAGGCGAAGUGAAAGCAAGUGGUGUGUCUGUCGCUCGCCAGAGAGGCAGGCAGCUCCGUGAUGUACGUAAUUCCUACGUAGAUGAAUGCGUCUCGGGCUUAUACCGGGCUGAUCCGUACGUAAACAAGACAACUGUCGCUACGACGGCGCAAGCUCCAGGCUCUCAACAUGGGACGCCGUCUCUAUGGGAGCACUGUGUAGCGUGCAUGCUAUGACCCGAAAGAUAGUGAACUAUGCCUGGCGA
RNAcentral lists this ribosomal RNA (1175 nucleotides) under Parepimeria crenulata. Its description in RNAcentral is "partial 28S ribosomal RNA". It matches the Rfam family "Eukaryotic large subunit ribosomal RNA", at positions 104 to 843 of the family's 3401-position model. The record is from RNAcentral. Lineage: Eukaryota; Metazoa; Arthropoda; Malacostraca; Amphipoda; Amathillopsidae.